UAUUUAUACUGAAAUGAAUCAAUGGAUAGUGUGAGAUAUCUCCUCCAAGCUUCCAAUCCAAUGAGCUUUUGAAUUACUAUAAAAUAGGGACAAUGAAACAAAGCAAGCUUUAAAGCUUAGUAAGUUUGUAUAACAUGAAAUUUAACUUACCAUUUAUCAUUUAAGGUAAGCAAACUAAAUAUACUCAAACCAAUUUGUGCAAUUGCCUAACACACAUCCUCAUCCAUCAUGUUAGUCAUGUAUUGUAACACCCCAAACCUGGCCUAGACGUUACGGCCGAAUCUGACAUGUCACAUAGAAGUGUUCUUCUAAAAUCGAAGUCUAAUAAAGAAAAUCGUUUGGUAAAAAUCCAAUUUAUUCUUACCUCUUAAAAUCAUUUGGUACAUUAUAAAACCACCAUGCGGUAAAACGGUUUGUUAUUGGAGGUUUAAAAUUAGCAGAAGCUACUUCAUUUAAGGUUAUUUUGAAGUUGAAAAUAUGUGUUUGUCUUGAAAAAAAACAGUGUUUAUUAUGAAAACUUAUUUGUACCCGUUAAGCAGUUCAAAAUAAAUAAAUAAACCCAUUUUAAAGAAAAUUAAAAUACCAAAGGUCUUAUUACAUAAAAAACAACCCAAAGUAAACUUUAAAAGAAAUCAGUCUAGAAUAAAAAUACUAGCGAAUGUGUGGCCACCUCCAAGUCCCUCGCAGCUCCAAAUCAACUAAGGUUGGGGAUUACCUGCACAGUUAGAAGAAAAUGGUGAGUUACGAGAACUCAGUGUGUAAUCCCCUAUCAUGCAGUAACAAACUAGGCCUAAGCCAUUUCCAGUAUCAGUGUGGGCUUUAGCCCAAUACAAUAUCAGAACAGUGUGGGCCUUAGCCCAACAUAAUAACAGUGUGGGCUUAAGCCUGUUAUAGUAUCACUAUGGUGCAAAUAUGCAAAACCCACCCCAAUUCAGCCCAACACACCACCCGUACCAACCCUACACACCAUAUGGGGACAAAGUCGACCCACCCAGCCCAUACACCAAUAUUGCAGCAUAGCUGCCAGCAAUAAAAACGCAGCCGAGCUGCCAGUACAGUAUAUGUGGCAUAGCCACCAGUAACAGUGAUUGUGGCAGAGCCACCAGAAACAGUACUUCCUCCAUAACAGAAACCCAACCCAUGCAGUGUUAAAUAAAUAUGUCAUACUCACGAAUUAUACGUACAUGCAAUAUGCCAUACUCAGUAUCAGUUAAAUAAAUAUCAUAAAGCCAUACCAAUAAUUUCAUUUACUAGGGUAUACCGGUCAAUCUACCCUUCUGGAGGUAUUUCAAUAAUUUUACCCUACGGAGGUAUUUCGAUAAUUUACCCAUCGGGGGUAUUUCAGUAAUUUACCUAUUGAGAGUAUUUUGGUAAUUUACCCAUCGAGGGUAUUUUGGUAAUUUACCCAUCGAGGGUAUUUUGGCAAUUUACCCAUCGAGGGUUUUCGAUAAUUUACCCAUUGAGGGUAUUUCUGUGAUUUACCCAUUGAGGGUAUUUCUGUGAUUUACCCAUCGAGGGUAUUUCGAUAAUUUACCCAUCGAUGGUAUUUCAGUAAUUUACCUAUUGAGGGUAUUUCUGUAAUUUACCCAUUAAGGGUAUUUUGGUAAUUUACACAUUGAGGGUAUUUUGGUAAUUUACCCAUCGAGGGUAUUUUGGUAAUUUUUAUCCGUGUGGGCCCAAGAGCCCAUUAGGGCCCAUAACGGCCCAAGUGCACGAAAACACUUGUGGUGGCCUCAUCAGUCUACCGCUUUCGGUUGUGGGCUCGAUUUUUUUUCACACGAGCGAUUGCACACUCAGAUGCCAAAGUUUCAGUUUUCCAGCUUUUGCCGAUUCUUAACAGAAAAUAAUGUGAUUACACACCUGUUUGUGAAAGCUUUGCCAAACACCCUCUUGGCACCAACCUACAUAGAUUUACACACUCAAUCAAUCCUUCAAUCAACGGUAUUUCCCAAUACUUAACCCACGCUUAAACCAACACCACUUACCACGAUUAUAAGAACUAUGACCUAAUCUUUUACGAUUCUUGAUCGAGGCACGGUUCCCCCUUUUGAUGAUUAUCUGAUCAAACAACGAUAGUUAUUGAACGACAAGGUUACUUAAGAAUUAUUCCACAUGAAAGUUCACGGCAUAAAAGGCUUACCUAUCAACUUACCCUUAAUGAUCCAACUGGUUGAUGAAAGAGAUUUGAAACGCCUCCACGCCCUAGAGAAAUUUCCUUUCUCUUCUGGCAACUUAGCACCCUAAAUUGUGGAUGACGAAUUUGGUUAGAGAGGCUUAGGCACAAUCGGACAAGCAUAGAAGAUGACCUACCUUGAAGAAUUCGGUUGAGGUGGAGGUGCAUUCAGUUUUGAUAGAGAAGAUAAAUGGAGGAGGUUUCAGUUUUUGGCAAAAAAUGAAGACCCCAAAAGAUGUUAUCUUUUUCGCAAUUGAAAGAAAAGAAGAGAUGAUAGCUACUUGGUUAUCUCAGAAACUAAACGCAAAAAAAAAAUCGAACAAAAAGAAAUAAAACUUGAAUGGUAAGACUGGAGAGCAAAGAAAACUCAGUCACCCAAGGCUUCCCAAAUGCCGAAAUACUCCCAAAACCCCCUCUAGCCGAAUUUUGCACAAACAAGAGUCCCAUUCGGCACAACCUCCCCACUCACCUCAACUCAUUGAUUAUCUCCACCAUUUCCUCUAUAACCGCCUCCUAGAUUUUCUCCCACAACUCUCCAUGACUAAAUUCAAACUCCACCAUGUAGAGUCUCAAUCCAACUCUACUUUUCAGGUUGCCAAGGAGUAAAAUAAAUACUGCUUUGCUAUUCAAGGGAUUCAAACUCAAGCUCCCUUGCCACAUUAAUCACGCCACUGCCACUGGGCCACAAGCUCAUCUUAUGCUCCAUUUUUCUCCAAGAACUAUUCUUAGGGCCUUCAGGCCAGCUUCAAGGUUCCCUUAAGAAGAAAAAAAAAACAAAAUUUCGCUAGAGUCUAGGUUUGAUCCUAGGACUUUUCACACACUCCCAAACACACUCAAUUCACUUAGCCAUUAAAGCAAACAAGCUACUUGCAUCAAAUAUAAAAAAUUUAAAGACCCCAUAUUUUUGGGGCGUUACAUGUAUUUCAUAGAAAUAUCAAGAAGUAUAUAUGAGCUCAAUAAUAAUCAAAUUGUCAUAUACAUAAAUUUUCCAUAUCAUGUGUCCAUAUAACAUGUACAAAUCAUUUCCUUAUAUUUCAGAUAUAUUUGGGUAAUAAUUCAUUUUGAAUCCAUAUUAUCUCGUUUUAGAACUUUACCCGUUGAACUCUUUAAAUUAUCGAUGGAUACACGAGUAGUACACACGAAGUGUAUAAAACUGUAAUCCGUCAAUUCAUGUAUUACCCGUCAAUUCAUAUUCAGGAAUGCUCAUAAGAGCACAUAAACGAGAAGCUCUUCCGAGCCAUAUAACGGGAAGCUCAUGUGAGCCAAUUAACUAAUCAAGAAGCUCGUGCGAGCCGUAUAUAGGUAAGCUCCAGAGAGCCAUUAGUUGGAAAGUUUAUGAAAGAGCCUUUAAUCGGGAAGCUCCGGAAAGCCAUUAAUCAGGAAGCUCAUAAGAGCUAAUUAUCGGGAAGCUCCGAAGAGCCAAUUAACAGGACACUCAUAAGAGCUACGGUGUGUCCGCAACAUAUGCAAGAUCACAACCAAAUUGGGAUGCUCAUAAGAGCUAUUAACGGGAUGCUCUUGCGAGCUGUGGUGUGUCUACAACGUAUGCAAGACCACAACCAAUUCAGGAACCCUGUAUCCAUCGAAUUUCAUUUGUUCAAACGAGACUUAACACUUGUCAAACAUUAUCGUAUAUGUGAUUCAUUCUUAUGCAUGAAAAUUUUAUACAUUUUACAUACAUAACAUUCAAUUCAAACAUAUAAAUAUACAAUUUAUUACACGAACUUAUCUCAACAAUGUUCGUGUACACAAAAGCUACUAAUCCGUUACUUUCUCUUUUCCACGAUCUAACCCUAUAUUCAAUCUAUCCAAAUGAAUUUAACAUCAAUUUAUAUUCAAUUCAAUUCACAUCUUUGGAAAAAUUACAUUUUGCCCCUAUACUUUUAGUUAAUUAUGAUUUCAUCCCUAGGCUCGGAAAAUAAAAUUCAUGCAAUUUAAUCCUUAUUACAAGCCUAGCCGAUUUUUACAUGUAACAAUAGAAGCCCAUGUAUUUCAUAUAAUUUAGAAUUUUUCUAUAAAUUUUACAUCUUUUCAAUUUAGUCUUUAAAUCACAAUUUCAUCAAAAUUAUUUUUACAAAAGUUGUUUAUCUAUCAACAACAUGUCAUUUUAUACCAUAAAACUUCAUAAUUCUCACAUACUCAUCCAUGUAAAAACCCUAGUACUUUGAUAAAUUAAUCCCCGAGAUACCUAGAUUAAGCUAUUACGAUCUUGGAAACAUAAAAAUCAUUAAAAAUGGGACAAGAAUGCUUACCCAAUUAAGCCAAGUAAGCUUUCUCAAAACUCUAUAACCAUGGCUAGGGUUUCCAUGUCUUAUUUUUAGGAAAGAUGAUAAAAUGAUGAUAUUUUGUUUUAUUUUAUUAUUUAUCAUCUUUUUAUCUUUUACUUUCCAAUUUCAUCCUUUUCUUUAUUGAAUUUUCCAAUGAUGAAUAAUCAUGUUUAUCUACUAACUCUUCUAAUAUUUUUCAUAUAAGGACCUCAAAUUUUGAAUUUCAUAGCUAUUUGAUUCCUUUAGCUACUAUACUUCAACUUUUUCACUUUAUGCAAUUUGGUCCUUUACAUCAAAUUAAAUAUGAAAUCGGUAAAAUUUCUUUACAAAAUUUUCAUAUAACCUUUCUAUCAUAAUGUAGACCACAAAAUAAUAUUAAAAUGAUUUUCCUAUAUUGGUAGAUGCAAACAACUUAAUUCUAUUAUUAAAAAUGUUAAACACUUUAAAAAUGUAAGUUACCUUAUGUUAAUUACUUGGAGAUAUUUGAGAUGAUGAAAAUCAAGGCACGAAAUAGAUUUUGAGAUAGAAUAAUAUUUUGUAAUCCAUUUAGGAAUUGAGAUAGAAAAUUGAGAGGAAAUGAAUUUUGAGAAUGAAAAUUAAAUUUGGUAUUGACUGAAUGGAGUGAGAAAACAUUAAAUUUGGUUUGGGUAUAUAUAGAGGAUUUUAGGGACUUUGGGGAAAUUUUCUUUUUUUCUUUCAUCGUUGAAAUUAAAUAUUUUCAUUUAAAAUUUAUUUAACCAUUGGGCCAUCAGUUAAAAAUCAAGAGCCCUGGUUUUUUAAUUGUUGACAUCCAACGAUUUGAUUUUUUUUUUUUACAUAUGUUGGGUAAAAACACACUAUUGGAUUGGCUUUUAGUGAAAAUGUGUCUAGUAAGGUGCGUUUUCACCCAUGUGGCAUUGCGUUCUUGCGAACCAAAUACUCAAAUUUCUAGAGAAAGAAAAACACAAUUUUCUAUCCAGAUGCUCAAUUCAUAAAACAAUGUAAAAAUUGUAAAAGAAAAAUCAUUAAUGAAAAUUUGUAAAAAUCAUAAAAUUUUAAGGUUUUUAUUUUUUUGCAUUCUAAAUUUUAAAAUUUUUAAUUAACACCUUAAAUUACAAUAUAUCUCAUAUAUAACAACAUUCUCUAACAACUACCAAAAUCAGACUAUUUACUCAAAUUCCUAAUUAAAAAUCACAAUUUUCUAACGAAAUACUCAAAAUCCUAUUGGAAACCCCACUUUGUAAAAAUUCUUUAAAAAAUGUAAAAAAAAAUUGUUAAAUAAAAAUUGUAAUAUUUAUAAUGCCAAAAAAAUAAUUUUACAAUUUUUAUGAUUUAUAAUUAAGAAUUUUACAAUUUUUUUAAGAAUUUUUACAAAGUUAGGUUUCCAAUAGGACUUUGAGUAUUUGAUUAGAAAAUUAUGAUUUUAUUAGGAAUUUGAGUAAAUAGUUGAUGGAUUUUGUACUUGUUAGAAGCUUAUAGGAAUAAUUGAUUAAAAGUUUUGUGUUUUAUGAAAGCUCAUGAAAAGUUCAUACUAAGAAGCUCACCCAAGAAUAAAAAGUCUGCUCUUGGUAGCACGUUUGGUUUUAUUUUAUCUUUUGGUAUUCUUGUGUUUUUUUUUUAAGUUUUGUUUCGUCUUUUUUAAGUUUUCUUUACAUUAGUUCUGGCGAGAAGACAAGAUGGAGAAGGAAAUGGAAGGCUUUAAAUCUUAAAGAUGAAGAAGAUGUUGGAAUUUCGUUGCCAAUAGAUUGGGAGGCACAAAAAUCGACUUACAAGUUAUGUUUGGUUGGUUAUUUCUUAACAGCGUGUAUUGUUCAUUUUCCGGCUAUGAAAAAUACUAUGGCAAAUCUUUGGCAUCCCUUAAGGGGAGUACUAAUAUCAAAUUUGGGAGAAAAAAAGUUUCUUUUCAAGUUUUUCCAUGAGAUGGAUAUCAAGUGUGUAAUGGAAGAGGCCCUAUAGACUUUCAAUAACCACUUGUUGAUUCAUCAUUGUUUAGAGAAUAAUGAAGACCUGAUGCAAGUUUCUCUGGUAUUUUCACCUUUCUGGAUUUAGGUUCAUGAUCUUCCCCCUGGUUUCUUUUCGAAAAGUGUGGUAAAAAAAUUGGGAAAAUUUGUUGGAUGUUUUGCGAAGUAUGAUGUGAAACCUCUGAGUAGAGUAUUCAUGAGUUUCUUGCAUUUUGAAGUAGAGGUGGAUACCAAGAAGCCAUUGAAAAGAAGAAAGAAGAUCAUGUUAUCCUAAUCAAAUUCAACUUAUGUCUCCCUUCGAUAUGAGAGGUUGACUUUAUUUUAUUUUCUUUGAGGGUGGUUGGGACAUAAUGAUAAAUUUUGCCUUGUCCGAUUAACAAAAGGGGAUGAGGUUUUGGAGUUGUGAUGGAACUCAAAUUUGAAAACAUAAUCUAGAAGAGUUGUGGUUGAGAAUAGUGUCUGGCUUCGGAAGGUAAGGGAUGACGAAUUUUGGGGAAGAAAUUUGACAAGCUAUGAUUUGGGGAGAAAUCAAAGGGAGGAUGUUAGGAGAGAUUUAAGGAAGAAAAUAAAUCCAAUCUUGGGAUUUAAUUUGGAGUGAUUUCCUAAAAAAAUGGAAAUAAAUUUCAUGGGAUCUUUUAAUGAUGUAAGCCAAUUUGAAAUGGACCAUGAUCUUGAGGAAAGCCCUGUUGCACAGUUGGACAAAAAAAGGCCCACGAUAGUCUUUUUGGACUCUAGCAUUUCGGGAAUGGAAGAUUCGCUAAAGACCACGAAUGAACAACAUAAUAUUUGCUCCCUUCUUAUAUUGGCGGAGACCAGGAGGCCUGCUGACCUUGAACCAUGAAAAUGAUAAGUUGGAAUGUCCACGGAUUAGGGAGUACGCAGGCGAUUCGAAGACUUCGGCACAUGCUAAAGAUCUGCAAUCUCCAAAUUAUCUUCUUAACGGAGAUUAAGUUGAAUAGUGUUCGAAUGGAGUGGGUCUGAAAGCAAUGUAUAUUUUCUAAUGGAACUGAUGUUUCAACAAAUAGAACGAGAGGUGGGCUUAGUUUAGCUUGGAACGAAAUUGAAUUGAACUGCGAAGUUAUUCUCAGAAUCACAUUGAUGCUGAAAUUUUGAUAGAUGACAAUGGUAGAUAAUGGAGAUUAACCGGAUUCUAUGGAAUCCUAGAUGUGCACUUUAGAGAGGAAGGGUGGAAUUUAUUACGAAGUUUAAGUCAUAAUUAAGACUUGCCAUGGCUUGUAUGUGGACAUUUCAAUGAAAUUUUAUAUUCUUUCGAGAAAUUUGGUAGGGUGCCAAGAGAUGAAAGAUGGAUGGAAUGUUUUUGUAGAAUGCUUGAUGAUUGUUGAUUAAUGGAUGUAGGGCAUGCUGGACCUCAAUUCACUUGAGAAAGGGGUAACCUUCUUGAAACUAAUAUUCGAGAAUGACUUAAUAGGGGUGGCUAAUGUUGAGUGGUUUGAUUUGUUCCCAGAUUUUUCAAUAAACCACUUACUUCAUUCUUUUUCCGAGCACGACCCCCUUCUAAUCAAAACUUAUCAAGAGAAUCAGCAGAGAAGUCGAAAGAAUUUUAAUUAUGAAUUGUGGUAGGUCUUGGAGGAAUCCUAUGAAGAGAAAGUAAGGUGUAUUUGGGAGUUGAAUUCUGGUUCUGUUCUGGAGAAACUUGAAGCGCUUUCAGCUAGGCUAAAAUGAUGGGCAAAGGGUAUAAAAAGCAAGCGAACCAAAGCUUAUAAAGGCUUGCAAGGCAAGCUGGGUCAGUUGCUGGAACUUGACAGGGAUGAUGAUACAUUGGCUGAGAUAAUCGAUAUAGAAAUCCAUCUUAAUAUGGAGAUUGAGAAGGAAUAAGCUUAUUGGGAGCAAAGAGCUAGGACAAACUGAAAAUGGAAGAUAUUCACAAUUUCUUUCAUAAUUCUUUUACAAUUUCGAUAUAAAACAUCAAAUUCUUUCACAAUUUCGCAUCCCAAAUAAGAUAUUCAAAUCGUAUCUCGAAGCUAAUGGAUGAAGUAGGUAAUGUAGCCAUGUCAAAAACUGAAGUGCAAGAAUUUACACGCAAAUACUUUACUAAUAUUUUUGCAUCAAUAGGAGUGGGUAAUAUGGAACACAUUCUGCCAGGAGCGGAUACUUGUAUAACAACAGAAAUGAAUCAGAUACUAUUGGCCAAUUAUAUAGAUGAUGAGGUGGUUUCAGCAUUCAAAUCAAUGGGUCUAACAAAAGCUGCUGGUUCUAACGGAUUCCCAGCGCUAUUUUUCCAAAAAAAUUGGAAUAUUGUCGGAAGAGAUGUAAGCGAAUUCUACCUUGGAGUUCUAAAUGAAGGUAUGAAUAUGGAACAGUUUAAUGCUACUAAUAUUUUGCUUAUUCCUAAAAUUGCUUAGUCAUUGAAUGUGAAUAAUUUUAGGCCUAUAAGUCUUUGCACGGUUAUAUAUAAAUUCAUUUCUAAAACUAUUGCGAAUCGAUUCCAACAAGUUGUAGAUUAUUGCAUCGACAAGGUCCAAAGUGCGUUUGUCCAAGGGCAUAUGAUAAUUGAUAAUGUCCUUGCUUUUGAAGUCUCACACUCUUUUAAGCAAAAAAAAAAAAAAAAAUAGGGGAAAAGGCUCUUUCGCCUUGAAAUUAGAUAUAAGCAAAGCCUAUGAUCGAGUUGAUUGGGGGAUUUUUUACAACAUAUGAUACUGAAGAUGGGCUUUGAUAGAAUUUGAGUGAAUUUUAUUAUAAAGUGUAUUAGCUCGAUUUCGUACUCCAGUAUGAUUAACAAAAAAAAAAGGGACAAAAAUUCUUCCCCACAAGAGGGUUAAGACAAGGGGGCCCAUUAAGCCCUUAUCUAUUUCUGAUUUACAGUGAAAGUUUGUCUUCCUUAAUGAAAUUGGCAAAAAGGGAAGGAGAGUUGGGAGGGGUCAAAGUGAGCAGACGAGGACAAAAAAUUUCAUAUCUCUUGUUUGUUAAUGAUUGUAUUAUUUUCGUAGGGGGUGAAUGUUCUUAAAUGACUACUCCAAGAGUAUGAGGAAGUUUUGGGUCAAUGUAUAAAUUAUGAAAAAUCAACUAUUUUCUAUAGUUUGAAUACUUCUGAGCAGACUAAACAGGCAAUAGCGUAAAUCUUACAUGUCUGCGUUUCUACAAACCCGAAAAGUAUUUGGGGCUUCCUAAUUUGGUUGGUAAGGGGAAGAAAGAGGCCUUUCAAAUUGAUAGCUGGAGCACCAGGUUUCUUUCUUAAGGAGUUAAAGAAAUUUUUAUAAAAUCAAAUUAACAGGCUAUUCUGACUUAUACGAUGACUUGUUUCUUUACUUCCAAUCUCUCUUUGUAAUGAAAUAGAAGGCAUAACUGCAAAGUUCUGGUGGCAAAAAGGGCAUGGGAAGAUUGGUGUGAAUGGAGAAAACUGUGCGAUUUAAAGGAAAAUGGUGGUCUUAGGUUUCGAUGUUUAGCAAAAUUCAAUAUUUUGUUACUUGCAAAAUAAGGACGACGAUUAAUUAAUUAUUCGAAUUCUUUGUUAGCUCGUACAUUAAAAGCUAAAUACUAUCCUGAAACUGACUUUCUAAAUGCAAAAUUAGAGAGAAUACCUUCAUAUACUUGGUGAAGUAUUUGGGCUUCAAAAGGAAUUCUCCAAGAUGGAAUGUGCUGGCGAGUGGGAACAUGUAAUAAAAUCUCAGUGACACCUUUAUUUUGGAUCUCAUCCAUAGUUUGAACACCAUGAAAAUGAACACAAGGAAGGUGAAGGACAAGGGGAGCAACUUAUCCACGG
This 10101-nucleotide long non-coding RNA is filed under the name Gossypium raimondii (Peruvian cotton). RNAcentral's name for it is "long non-coding RNA (GRAI_LNC001042)". Lineage: Eukaryota; Viridiplantae; Streptophyta; Magnoliopsida; Malvales; Malvaceae. The record is from RNAcentral.